GACGAACGCUGGCGGCGUGCUUAACACAUGCAAGUCGAACGGAAAGGCCCUGCUUGCAGGGUACUCGAGUGGCGAACGGGUGAGUAACACGUGGGUGAUCUGCCUCUAACUUCGGGAUAAGCUUGGGAAACUGGGUCUAAUACCGGAUAGGACCAUCGUUUAGUGUCGGUGGUGGAAAGUUUUUUCGGUUAGAGAUGAGCCCGCGGCCUAUCAGCUUGUUGGUGGGGUAAUGGCCUACCAAGGCGUCGACGGGUAGCCGGCCUGAGAGGGUGUACGGCCACAUUGGGACUGCGAUACGGCCCAGACUCCUACGAGAGGCAGCAGUGGGGAAUAUUGCGCAAUGGGCGGAAGCCUGAUGCAGCGACGCCGCGUGGGGGAUGAAGGCCUUCGGGUUGUAAACUCCUUUCGACAGGGACGAAGCGUAAGUGACGGUAUCUGUAUAAGAAGCACCGGCUAACUACGUGCCAGCCGCCGCAGUAA
RNAcentral lists this ribosomal RNA (480 nucleotides) under uncultured bacterium. Its description in RNAcentral is "partial 16S ribosomal RNA". It matches the Rfam family "Bacterial small subunit ribosomal RNA", at positions 28 to 523 of the family's 1533-position model. The record is from RNAcentral.